Molecule: ribosomal RNA, 908 nt
Filed under: Didymella macrostoma
Lineage: Eukaryota; Fungi; Ascomycota; Dothideomycetes; Pleosporales; Didymellaceae
Description: LSU rRNA
Rfam family: Eukaryotic large subunit ribosomal RNA
Source: RNAcentral
GCAUAUCAAUAAGCGGAGGAAAAGAAACCAACAGGGAUUGCCCUAGUAACGGCGAGUGAAGCGGCAACAGCUCAAAUUUGAAAUCUGGCGUCUUUGGCGUCCGAGUUGUAAUUUGCAGAGGGCGCUUUGGCAUUGGCAGCGGUCCAAGUUCCUUGGAACAGGACGUCACAGAGGGUGAGAAUCCCGUACGUGGUCGCUAGCCUUUACCGUGUAAAGCCCCUUCGACGAGUCGAGUUGUUUGGGAAUGCAGCUCUAAAUGGGAGGUAAAUUUCUUCUAAAGCUAAAUACUGGCCAGAGACCGAUAGCGCACAAGUAGAGUGAUCGAAAGAUGAAAAGCACUUUGGAAAGAGAGUUAAAAAGCACGUGAAAUUGUUGAAAGGGAAGCGCUUGCAGCCAGACUUGCCUGUAGUUGCUCAUCUAGGUUUCUACCUAGUGCACUCUUCUAUAGGCAGGCCAGCAUCAGUUUGGGCGGUUGGAUAAAGGUCUCUGUCAUGUACCUCUCUUCGGGGAGAACUUAUAGGGGAGACGACAUGCAACCAGCCUGGACUGAGGUCCGCGCAUCUGCUAGGAUGCUGGCGUAAUGGCUGUAAGCGGCCCGUCUUGAAACACGGACCAAGGAGUCUAACAUCUAUGCGAGUGUUUGGGUGUCAAGCCCGAGCGCGUAAUGAAAGUGAACGGAGGUGGGAACCUUUCGGGGUGCACCAUCGACCGAUCCUGAUGUCUUCGGAUGGAUUUGAGUAAGAGCAUAGCUGUUGGGACCCGAAAGAUGGUGAACUAUGCUUGAAUAGGGUGAAGCCAGAGGAAACUCUGGUGGAGGCUCGCAGCGGUUCUGACGUGCAAAUCGAUCGUCAAAUUUGGGCAUAGGGGCGAAAGACUAAUCGAACUAUCUAGUAGCUGGUUCCUGCCGA